AUACGUAGGUGGCAAGCGUUGUCCGGAAUUAUUGGGCGUAAAGCGCGCGCAGGUGGUUCCUUAAGUCUGAUGUGAAAGCCCCCGGCUCAACCGGGGAGGGUCAUUGGAAACUGGGGAACUUGAGUGCAGAAGAGGAUAGUGGAAUUCCAAGUGUAGCGGUGAAAUGCGUAGAGAUUUGGAGGAACACCAGUGGCGAAGGCGACUGGCUGGUCUGUAACUGACACUGAGGCGCGAAAGCGUGGGGAGCAAACAGGAUUAGAUACCCUGGUAGUCCACGCCGUAAACGAUGAGUGCUAAGUGUUGGGGGGUUUCCGCCCCUCAGUGCUGCAGCUAACGCAUUAAGCACUCCGCCUGGGGAGUACGGUCGCAAGACUGAAACUCAAAUGAAUUGACGGGG
RNAcentral lists this ribosomal RNA (397 nucleotides) under uncultured bacterium. RNAcentral describes it as "partial 16S ribosomal RNA". It matches the Rfam family "Bacterial small subunit ribosomal RNA", at positions 523 to 918 of the family's 1533-position model. The record is from RNAcentral.